Long non-coding RNA from Oncorhynchus keta (chum salmon), 151 nucleotides. RefSeq lists it as uncharacterized. The record is from RefSeq and is a predicted model, not a curated record. Lineage: Eukaryota; Metazoa; Chordata; Actinopteri; Salmoniformes; Salmonidae. The transcript is spliced from 3 exons.
AUAACACUAUACAAAGCAGGUAAUAUAACACUAUACAAAGCAGGUAAUACAACACUAUACAAAGCAGGUAAUAUAACACUAUACAAAGCAAGUAAUAUAACACUAUACAAAGCAGGUAAUACAACACUGUACAAAGCAGGUAAUAUAACAC